CUUGAUAGAAGAAUUUACACUUUGUUCAAUAUUGACCGAGUGCUCUCCCAAAGUAGAAAGAUUCAAAGCAAGAGCGUGAGGAUUGUAGGUGGAAUUGGUAGGGAACAUGAGAUUAACACUGCAUAUCACCUGAGAAACUGAUCUGGUCAAUUAUAUUGAAGAGUGAAGUGAAUCGGAAACAGAGGGUGAAUGGGUAGAGUAUUGGAUGUCUGAGAUGGAAAGAGUAAAGGUAAGGGGAAAGUGAAGAGAAUGGUGUGGCUGAGAGAAAUGCGCGAAACCCAAUGACGGAGAAAUACAUUGGGAUAUUGUGCGGUGUUUAUCCCAACAGAAGAAAAGACCCGUGAGAGAGAGAGGACAACAGUUGGAGAGAGGCCAAGUAGGUUUUGGUUUCUUUUGUGAACAAAAUAUUAAUGGACAAAGAAGUGAAAUUGGUUUAAGCUAAAUAAAGAAAAUGAAUAAGAGUUCGGAGUACCCCAAAUACCCAUUAAACCCCAACAAAUAUUUUCAAACCCGAAUGAUUAAAAUGAGCAGCUUACGUCAGCCUGGAAAAAGCAGAGAGGGGAAGAGUCCUCUUAAUGAACAGUCCAAUCGGUUCAUGCUUUAUAGGGUUUUGGUUUCUUUUGUGAACAAAAUAUUAAUGGACAAAAAAGUGGAAUUGGUUUAAGCUAAAUAAAGAAAAUGAAUAAGAGUUCGGAGUACCCCAAAUACCCAUUAAACCCCAACAAAUAUUUUCAAACCCAAACGAUUGAAUUGAACAGCUGACGUUAGCCUGGAAAAAGCAUAGAGGAAGAGUCCUCUUAAUGAACAAUCCAAUCGGUUCAUGCUUGAUAGAAGAAUUUACACUUUGUUCAAUAUUGACCGAGUGCUCUCCCAAAGCAGACAGAUUCAAAGCAAGAGCGUGAGGACUGUAGGUGGAAUUGGUAGGGAACAUGAGAUUAACACUGCAUAUCACCUGAGAAGCUGAUCUGGUUAAUUAUAUUGAAGAGUGAAGUGAAUCGGAAACAGAGGGUGAAUGGGUAGAGUAUUGGAUGUCUGAGAUGGAAAGAGUAAAGGUAAGGGGAAAGUGAAGAGAAUGGUGUGGC
RNAcentral lists this long non-coding RNA (1082 nucleotides) under Linum usitatissimum (flax). RNAcentral describes it as "long non-coding RNA (LUSI_LNC006358)". The record is from RNAcentral. Lineage: Eukaryota; Viridiplantae; Streptophyta; Magnoliopsida; Malpighiales; Linaceae.